RNAcentral lists this ribosomal RNA (159 nucleotides) under uncultured bacterium. RNAcentral describes it as "partial 16S ribosomal RNA". It matches the Rfam family "Bacterial small subunit ribosomal RNA", at positions 372 to 526 of the family's 1533-position model. The record is from RNAcentral.
CGGGUGCAGCCUGAUGCAGCCAUGCCGCGUGAGUGAUGAAGGCCUUCAGGUUGUAAAGCUCUUUUAGCAGGGACGAAGGGAAUCUGUUUGUACCUUUGUUCCUUGACGUUUCCCGUACAGGAAGCCCGGCUUAAUACAUGCCAGCAGCCGCGGUAAUAA